CAGUCGCCACGGGAAUACGUAGGGUGCAAGCGUUAAUCGGAAUUACUGGGCGUAAAGCGUGCGCAGGCGGUUCGUUAAGACAGAUGUGAAAUCCCCGGGCUUAACCUGGGAACUGCAUUUGUGACUGGCGGGCUAGAGUAUGGCAGAGGGGGGUAGAAUUCCACGUGUAGCAGUGAAAUGCGUAGAGAUGUGGAGGAAUACCGAUGGCGAAGGCAACCCCCUGGGCCAAUACUGACGCUCAUGCACGAAAGCGUGGGGAGCAAACAGGAUUAGAUACCCCGGUAGUCCCUGUCUCUUAUAC
This 301-nucleotide ribosomal RNA is filed under the name uncultured bacterium. RNAcentral describes it as "partial 16S ribosomal RNA". It matches the Rfam family "Bacterial small subunit ribosomal RNA", at positions 509 to 807 of the family's 1533-position model. The record is from RNAcentral.